CAAGAGCGUAUGUAAAAGUUGUUGCAGUUAAAAAGCUCGUAGUUGAACCUUGGGUUUGGUUGGCCGGUCCGCUUUUUGCGAGUACUGGAUUCAACCGAGCCUUUCCUUCUGGCUAACCAGUCGUUUCGGCGGCUGGCGAACCAGGAUUUUUACUUUGAGAAAAUUAGAGUGUUCAAAGCAGGCAUUAGCUUGAAUAUAUUAGCAUGGAAUAAUAGAAUAGGACGUUAUGGUUCUAUUUUGUUGGUUUCUAGGACCAUCGUAAUGAUUAAUAGGGACGGUCGGGGGCAUCAGUAUUCAGUUGUCAGAGGUGAAAUUCUUGGAUUUACUGAAGACUAACUACUGCGAAAGCAUUUGCCAAGGACGUUUUCAUUAA
This 373-nucleotide ribosomal RNA is filed under the name uncultured eukaryote. RNAcentral describes it as "partial 18S ribosomal RNA". It matches the Rfam family "Eukaryotic small subunit ribosomal RNA", at positions 592 to 976 of the family's 1831-position model. The record is from RNAcentral.